GACGAACGCUGGCGGCGUGCUUAACACAUGCAAGUCGAACGAAAAGAGGGAAAGAGCUUGCUCUUUCCGGAAUUGAGUGGCAAACGGGUGAGUAACACGUAAACAACCUGCCUUCAGGAUGGGGACAACAGACGGAAACGACUGCUAAUACCGAAUAAGUUCCAAGAGCCGCAUGGCCCAUGGAAGAAAAGGUGGCCUCUACCUGUAAGCUAUCGCCUGAAGAGGGGUUUGCGUCUGAUUAGCUGGUUGGAGGGGUAACGGGCCCACCAAGGCGACGAUCAGUAGCCGGUCUGAGAGGAUGAACGGCCACAUUGGGACUGAGACACGGCCCAAACUCCUACGGGAGGCAGCAGUGGGGAAUAUUGCACAAUGGGGGAAACCCUGAUGCAGCGACGCCGCGUGAGCGAAGAAGUAUUUCGGUAUGUAAAGCUCUAUCAGCAGGGAAGAAAAAAAUGACGGUACCUGACUAAGAAGCCCCGGCUAACUACGUG
RNAcentral lists this ribosomal RNA (491 nucleotides) under uncultured bacterium. Its description in RNAcentral is "bacterial SSU rRNA". It matches the Rfam family "Bacterial small subunit ribosomal RNA", at positions 28 to 507 of the family's 1533-position model. The record is from RNAcentral.